GCUGGAAACCAGACGCUAAAGCUUGCAGCUGUGCAGCUAGGGGAGCAUCUGUUUUCCACUUGAGAGCAACCCGGGCACGCGAGAACGGCCCGAUUUCGGUGCAGGGGUGCGUCCCGAAGGAACGGGGGACUGUUUCUGCGCGGACAGGCGAACCCGGCAGGGGAAACCGAGGCCACGCUAGGUCCGCAGCCCCGAGGUGUCCACAAGAGCUCCGCUCGCGCAAGGGCGCGGAGCGAGGCUGCCCGCGGGACCG
Molecule: long non-coding RNA, 253 nt
Filed under: Homo sapiens (human)
Lineage: Eukaryota; Metazoa; Chordata; Mammalia; Primates; Hominidae
Description: non-protein coding LINC00909:12
Source: RNAcentral